Molecule: ribosomal RNA, 253 nt
Filed under: uncultured bacterium
Lineage: Bacteria
Description: partial 16S ribosomal RNA
Rfam family: Bacterial small subunit ribosomal RNA
Source: RNAcentral
UACGGAGGGUGCAAGCGUUACUCGGAAUUACUGGGCGUAAAGCGUGCGUAGGUGGUUUGUUAAGUCUGUUGUGAAAGCCCCGGGCUCAACCUGGGAAUGGCAAUGGAUACUGGCAAGCUAGAGUGCGGUAGAGGGUAGUGGAAUUCCCGGUGUAGCGGUGAAAUGCGUAGAGAUCGGGAGGAACACCAGUGGCGAAGGCGGCUACCUGGACCAGCACUGACACUGAGGCACGAAAGCGUGGGGAGCAAACAGG